GGGUGAGUAACGCGUAUCCAACCUGCCCAUCACUUGGGGAUAACCUUGCGAAAGUAAGACUAAUACCCAAUGAUAUCUCUAGAAGACAUCUGAAGGAGAUUAAAGAUUUAUCGGUGAUGGAUGGGGAUGCGUCUGAUUAGCUUGUUGGCGGGGUAACGGCCCACCAAGGCGACGAUCAGUAGGGGUUCUGAGAGGAAGGUCCCCCACAUUGGAACUGAGACACGGUCCAAACUCCUACGGGAGGCAGCAGUGAGGAAUAUUGGUCAAUGGGCGAGAGCUUGAACCAGCCAAGUAGCGUGCAGGAUGACGGCCCUAUGGGUUGCAAACUGCUUUUAUAAGGGAAUAAAGUGAGCCUCGUGAGGCUUUUUGCAUGUACCUUAUGAAUAAGGACCGGCUAAUUCCGUGCCAGCAGCCGCGGUAAUACGGAAGGUCCGGGCGUUAUCCGGAUUUAUUGGGUUUAAAGGGAGCGUAGGCCGGAGAUUAAGCGUGUUGUGAAAUGUAGAUGCUCAACAUCUGCACUGCAGCGCGAACUGGUUUCCUUGAGUACGCACAAAGUGGGCGGAAUUCGUGGUGUAGCGGUGAAAUGCUUAGAUAUCACGAAGAACUCCGAUUGCGAAGGCAGCUCACUGGAGCGCAACUGACGCUGAAGCUCGAAAGUGCGGGUAUCGAACAGGAUUAGAUACCCUGGUAGUCCGCACGGUAAACGAUGGAUGCCCGCUGUUGGUCUGAA
This 730-nucleotide ribosomal RNA is filed under the name uncultured bacterium. RNAcentral's name for it is "bacterial SSU rRNA". It matches the Rfam family "Bacterial small subunit ribosomal RNA", at positions 104 to 832 of the family's 1533-position model. The record is from RNAcentral.